UCAGCUGCAGUCGAAGAUGGCGUGAUAACGAGACAGCGCGGACUACGAGCUUUGUGUGAAAAAGUUGUGUUUUGUGGUGUUUCUCGUAGUGUUUUACAGUCACAUUAUAUCAAGAUUGGAAGCUUAAGAAUUGUGAUUAGUUUAUUGAAACAGACAUCCAGUGAAGACUGCGGAAAUUGCCUGCCGGAGGGUAAGCACUGAAGGCGUGAUUCCAAAGCAACGCCACACAAAAGCCCAGUGGCUGGGAGAAGAGUAAUGGAUCUUCUAAGAUAUAAAAGGAUCGACAGACUUUACGUAGUUGCUUUGCGGUCAAAUGAAUGGAAGAAUCUGAAGCCAUCUCUGCAAAACAACAAAAGACUCGGUGGAGGAGAGUACUAGCUCAUCAAUAUAUCCAUUAUCGUGUUCACGUGACCCUGCAUAAAUCCAGUCCACCCACACAGUAAGUAUUUAAGAGUCAUUUUAAUAUUAUCCUUGAAUCUACUCUUUCAUUUGCCAAGCUGCAUAUCGAGGGUCUUCGACUAAAAUGUUUGUUUUUCUCAGCUUCUCGUCAAUCUCUUUCAGGUAAAGCAUAUAAAAUAAAACACCUAGUUGCGGAGAAUCCGAGAAUCAGUCGCAUUAUCGUAUGUGUGCGUGUGACAUCGGGGUAAUUGUAAAUUUUUAUCGAGAUGCAAAAGAUAUUUAAACAUUUAAUUAAUUAUAUUGGCCUUAGUCGUUUAUUGAUUAACAUCAAAGACUUGUUUGCAGGCACUGAUUUCCUUAAAACAGAAUCUAACAAACUUUAGUCACGAAGGAAUCAACAGGCUAGAAGAAU
Molecule: non-coding RNA, 811 nt
Organism: Zootermopsis nevadensis
Lineage: Eukaryota; Metazoa; Arthropoda; Insecta; Blattodea; Termopsidae
Source: RefSeq, a predicted model, not a curated record